GAUGAAGAACGCAGCGAAAUGCGAUAAGUAGUGUGAAUUGCAGAAUUCAGUGAAUCAUCGAAUCUUUGAACGCACAUUGCGCCCCCUGGUAUUCCGGGGGGCAUGCCUGUCCGAGCGUCAUUACAACCCUCAAGCUCAGCUUGGUGUUGGGCCCCGCCGCCCCGGCGGGCCCUAAAGUCAGUGGCGGUGCCGUCCGGCUCCGAGCGUAGUAAUUCUUCUCGCUCUGGAGGUCCGGUCGUGUGCUCGCCAGCAACCCCCAAUUUUUUUCAGGUUGACCUCGGAUCAGGUAGGGAUACCCGCUGAACUUAAGCAUAUCAAUAAGCGAGGA
Molecule: unclassified non-coding RNA, 328 nt
Filed under: soil metagenome
Description: partial contains 5.8S ribosomal RNA, internal transcribed spacer 2, and large subunit ribosomal RNA
Rfam family: 5.8S ribosomal RNA (bases 1-120)
Source: RNAcentral